GAUCAAUUAAUAAUUUUAUUAAUUACAGCAAGCGAUAGCAAGCAAACAGCGCUGGGUGCAGCUGCGGAGCCUGUGUUCCGCCAAAAGCUGACAACCUUUCCUUCUCUUCAGUCCCUUUUUAUCCUGCAUAAGUGGGGGUGAUGGGUCUCCUUCCACCGUGGUUAUCAGUUUCAGCAACAAUGGGUUUCCACUUCGGUUAUCAGUUCCAGCCAGUCCUGCAAAAUCUUUCACAACCUUUGUUUGUGGUUACCAGUCAAGCCUGCAAAUUCCAUGUCCCGACUUCCCCCCCUUUUAUCCUAAUUUCAUACUUUUGAUGAACAAACAAGUCAAUGCAGUUCCUCACAAGAUCACCCUGCCCAGCCCCGGGCCGCCCCGGCCCCUCCGAGGCUUUGGGGGUCGGGGGCACAAAGGCACGAAGGCACAUCCUGCCUGCCAUCUCUCCUGCAGCAGAGGAAGCGGCUCGGGGAGAUCAGAGCCCAAACAGGGGCACCACGGCGCCGUUCGGCUGUGCGACAGUGCCCCGGAGCAUCCCUCGGCAGGAUUUCCGUGAGCCCGUCCCCUCGGCAGCACACAAUGAGUGUCUGACAGCUGCAGACGGCUCUGCCUUCGCCCCUCUCCGCCGACGGGUCCUCGGCACCUUCAGGAAGGUCAAACAGGAAAUUGGGCAGAGAAAGAAAAAGUUGUUCGUGCUGGAAAGUCCAAAUUUUCGUUCCUGGCUUGGGAUGAAGAUGCUGAAGUCAGGAUAUUCAAAUACUUCCCCUGGCGCCCAGGGGAAUAGAAGGACAUGGUGAGCGGGGCUGCAGGAGUGACGGGCUGGUGGCAUCCCAGGGGGCUGGUGACAUCCCAGGGGGCUGGUGCCAUCCCAAGGUGGCAGUGCCAUCCCAAGGUACCGGUGCCAUCCCAGGGGGCCGGUGCCAUCCCAGGGCGCUGGUGCCAUCCCAAGGUGCUGGUGCCAUCCAAAGGCGCUGGUGCCAUCCAAAGGUGGCAGUGCCAUCCCAGGGGGCUGGUGCCAUCCAAAGGUGCCAGUGCCAUCCAUCCCAGGGGGCUGGUGCCAUCCCAGGGGGAAUGUGCCAUCCCAGGGUGCCAGUGCCAUCCAAAGGUGCCAGUGCCAUCCAAAGAUGGCAGUGCCAUCCCAAGGUACUGGUGCCAUCCCAGGGUGCCAGUGCCAUCCCAGAGGGACGGUGCCAUCCCAGGGUGCUGGUGCCAUCCCAGGGGGCCGGUGCCAUCCAAAGGUGGCAGUGCCAUCCCAGGGGACCGGUGCCAUCCAAAGGUGCCAGUGCCAUCCCAGGGGGCCAGUGCCAUCCCAAGGUGCCAGUGCCAUCCCAAGGUGCUGGUGCCAUCCCAGGGGGCUGGUGCCAUCCCAAGGUACCGGUGCCAUCCCAGGGGGCUGGUCCUGCUGGCAUAUGCUCACACCUGAUUGAGUUUUCCCACUUAAAUUCCUACCCUGUCCCUCACCCCGGGUGUUUUUCACCUGCCUCCCUACAGACAAGGCUCUUCUUUUUGGGACGAUGCUCUGGCUGGCAACCCACUACUAUAUUUCAGGCCACUGUAUUUCACAGUCAGAGUUUCUCUUUGCAAGAUGGAUUUUGGAAGUCUCAAGCACCAAGAGAAUCACCUGUGGCUUCCUUCCACAGCAAGCCCUUGCUUCCCCAGACUCAACAAGCAUCCACACCAGAUGUAUCCCCAGCUCUGCUUUGCUGCGUGCAGGGCUUCUUCCACGGGGUCCUGCCUGGUAGAAGUGCCAGAAGUUUCUGUUUCUCUUCUGUUUCUUACCAGACAUGAUUUACUUACUGUAACUGGCUAUCCGUUAUGCCCUGCAUUGCAUUAUUAACUCGGUGAUCGUACAUUUAGCAGAGAAUUUAUGAGAAAUGAGGAGACAUUCAUUAUCAGUAACACCACAGACUUUACUCUUAUAUGGUCUCCCUGCAGGGCCAGAGCAGGACAGGGCUGCUCUGCAUACUUCUGGGGCUGCAUUUCCCUCACUUAGUCCAGUCCUUAUUUUUUCUCCUAUUAAAAUAUUUUCUGGUAAAAUUUAACUGGCUUAAUUGUGCCAUCAUGCCUUCUGUUGUCUGUUUUUCCUGUUUUCAGGCAGGGAGCUGGGUGAAGAUUGUCUGAGACACAUCUGUGCUUCCCAGCAACUGAACUGCAACAGAAGUGCCCUUAAAAUACCUCCUUAUCCUGAACCUCUGACCUGGGGACAAAUAUUCCCUCCUUCCUGUACCUCUGAACUGGGGACAAGUACCUGCCCUGUCCCAUAUCUCUGAAAUGGGGACCACAGGAGGAGUCACAAGGAACACAGUUGGCCAAGCCAAGCUCUUGGGGUUUCUGUGAGCAAAGGGUGCAGUGUCCUGCCGUGAGAUCUGGACAAGUGUUCCCAGAUGUUCUAUUAAAGAAACAACAACCACAGAAAAACCUGAGUAACAGCCAAACAAACAGAAAUCUCAGGUGGAGUCUCAGAGGCACACAAGUCCCAGUGAAGAGAGGCUGUAGGCAGGUUGGAGACAGGACAGGCAUUACCAUUUGCAUGACCUGGAUGUCUGACAACCUCCCAGGAAUUCGGAUUCCAAGAGCAACACAAUGAACAGUUCCUCCUUGACCUUAGAGCCAUGCCACAGCUGUCUGCAGAGCACUCCAUCUUGGAAACCUUUCCAUCUCUGAAGCCUUUCCCAGCAGACAGAGGCAUUUCUGGCUCCUGAGAAGGACUGGGGUUCCCCAGCUGCAGGCUGGUGGCAGCUGUGAAGGCUGUGAGGAGCCAGAGCUCCAGCCCAUGUCAGCCAGGGAAAGGAUGGGAAGAGCAGAGAUGGCUGGAUGUUCUUGGACAUUUCCUAUUCUUAGGUUUUCACUGAAUGGCCUGAACACAAAGCAAAUAUCUACCUAUAUCUAGAUCAUCUAUAUCUAUACCAUCUAUAUCUGUCUGUUAUACCUCACAGGUAUCACAGGAGAUUCUGAGUCUCAGCUUCUGAAUGCCCUGUGCCUAGCUGGGAAGGUCUGGGCAGCACAGAUGCUCCAUGGGGGCUGCUGCAUCCUCUGAUCCCAAACGGGUGCUACAGACCGUGCAGGCUUUGGCAGCAGCCAGUGGAGGGAAAGCUAUGCAAAACAUGCCCCAGGGAACUGCCAGGCAUCCCGGAUUACCUUCUUUGGAGUGGUUUUGGAGGUUACACGAAGGCAAAGCCAGUUCUCUGCGAGUUUGUGGCGCAGGCACUGGCUGCCCCAGCUGUCCCACACCCGGGGCAGCCCCAGCCUCCCUCAGCUCCUGCCCUGAGGCUGCCAGCCCCCGGCCAGUCCGGGCCUUUCCUGGCUGCAGAACCCCUCGCACCCCUCGCCCGUCACGCCAGGAGAAGCAGAGCACAAUUAGAGAUGUGGCUGUGCCUCUCUGCAGACAAUUAAUCCUCCCAUUAACGGGUGAAAUGGAGCGUUUGCGUCUCACAAAGCAAUUACACAAUAAUAGCAGGAGAACGAUGAUAGAAAUCACAUCUUCUCUGAAGUUGCUCUCCAAUCCAACAGAUGAAUAAUUCCUUCCAGGCAUUACUGGGAAACAGUAUUAAAACACCCAUAUAAACAAAAAUUACUGGAAAAAAACAGAUGAGGCAUGCUUCAUCGCUCUGUCAGAGCCAAGCACAACUAAAUUUAUACAAAGUGGGCAGAGAAGCUUGAAGGGGCAAAGACAUUUGUUACUGCUCUGUGCGAGAUGAGCUCACAAGGAACGCGUGCUUGAUCUUGGCAGCUUUCUGAUGUCUUACUCCUAAAGCAUCAGCUUUAGUCUCGGUUUCCAUGGCAGAUACUUUUCUGAGCUUGUAUCUUCCACAGAUAUUGCUAAUUUAUGCUGUCAGCCACAUCUCUGCAAAUACCUGCAGAGUGAUUCCAUGUGCAGUGGGAGCAGUGACAACAAGGCACACGUGAACCUGCCUCAGCUCUUGUUUUUGACCAGGGGGCAAAAAAGGGUUUGUUUUCUUCAGCCCACAAGAUCUUGGCUGAUCUUCUGGCACUGAAUUUUGCCCCAAGUACCCUGACACUGUGUUAUCUGUCCUGUGAAGUGAAGCACUUUCAGCAGUUCAUCCAGGCACGUGUUUUUGGCACAUUUACUCCCCAGUGCUCUGGCAGCUCUGAGCAGGAAGAGUUGGGCAUCACAUGUGGCCCUGCUUCCUUCUGCUCCCCCACCACAUUUCAUGUUAGCAGAGUCUAUAAACCAUGAGAUAUUUCCCAGGCAGAGAUCCAGCCACACCAAAACUGUUCUGUUUUCAGGGUGGAUUUAUCAGCCCUGCAAAUGUUGAACAAACAGCUGAUGAAUUGGUCUUACCAAUUUGACAAGACCAUGGCAAGGUGAGAGGCUGCACAUCUGGCUGGUGGAAGAAGAAUCCCGGGGAUUUGCAAAGCUGUUGUUUAUACACUGAAGCAUGGAACAUCCAGCACAUACAAAAGAAUCUGUGGAAAACUUGUAAAAAGUAACUCACACAAUAACAGAACCACAGGAAGCGAUGGCACGUGCAGAGGGAGCUCAUGUCGGAGCAAAGUCCUGGCAGCAGCAGGGAAACCCAUGUCCUGGCAGGAUAUGGGGACUGCAGGGUUCAGGGCUGGUUCAGGAUGUGCCCGGCAGCACCAGCGGGUGAGUCCCAAGUCCCAGGAAGGAAAGUGGCCAAACACUGAAAUGAGACCGCUCCCUCUCCUAAAGAUAGAAGCCUGGCAAGUCCUGGCCAGCUGGAAGUUGAUCUGAGCCCGGAUGGAGCCAGGCUUGCCAGUCAUUUUGAGUCCCAGGCAGCCACCUGCCCUGCUCACACUUCACCUGGUGACCAACAGCUCACAGGUAAUCCCCUUCUCCAUUCUGAGCCAGCACAAACACCUACACAGGGGCUUCGUGUGUGCUCACCUCUCCA
Molecule: long non-coding RNA, 4871 nt
Organism: Taeniopygia guttata (zebra finch)
Lineage: Eukaryota; Metazoa; Chordata; Aves; Passeriformes; Estrildidae
Source: Ensembl